GACGAACGCUGGCGGCGUGCUUAACACAUGCAAGUCGAACGAAGAGCGAUGGACGCUUGCUUCUAUCACUCUUAGUGGCGAACGGGUGAUUAACGCGUAAUCAACCUGCCCUUCAGAGGGGGACAACAGUUGGAAACGACUUCUAAUACCGCAUCCGAUCUAAUCUCGGCAUCGAGGAAAUUUGAAGGUUGGCUUUUUUUUUUAGCCUUUCCCUCAAGUUGGUGAUUGCGUCUGAUUAGCUAGUUGGAGGGGUAACGGCCCACCAAGGCGAUGAUCAGUAGACGGUCUGAGAGGAUGAACGGCCACAGUGGGACGGAGACACGGCCCAGACGACUACGGGAGGCAGCAGUGGGGAAUCUUCCGCAAUGGACGAAAGGCUGACGGAGCAACGCCGAGUGAGUGAUGACGGCCGUCGGGUUGUAAAGAUCGGUUAAUCGGGACGAAAGGCCUUCUUGCGAAAAGUUAGAAGGAUUGACGGUACCGGAAUAGAAAGCCACGGCUAACUACGUG
This 510-nucleotide ribosomal RNA is filed under the name uncultured bacterium. RNAcentral describes it as "partial 16S ribosomal RNA". It matches the Rfam family "Bacterial small subunit ribosomal RNA", at positions 28 to 507 of the family's 1533-position model. The record is from RNAcentral.